RNAcentral lists this unclassified non-coding RNA (329 nucleotides) under soil metagenome. RNAcentral's name for it is "partial contains 5.8S ribosomal RNA, internal transcribed spacer 2, and large subunit ribosomal RNA". The stretch from base 1 to 120 matches the Rfam family "5.8S ribosomal RNA", at positions 35 to 154 of the family's 154-position model. The record is from RNAcentral.
GAUGAAGAACGUAGCGAAAUGCGAUAAGUAAUGUGAAUUGCAGAAUUCAGUGAAUCAUCGAAUCUUUGAACGCACAUUGCGCCCCCUGGUAUUCCGGGGGGCAUGCCUGUCCGAGCGUCAUUACAACCCUCAAGCUCAGCUUGGUGUUGGGCCCCGCCGCCCCGGCGGGCCCUAAAGUCAGUGGCGGUGCCGUCCGGCUCCGAGCGUAGUAAUUCUUCUCGCUCUGGAGGUCCGGUCGUGUGCUCGCCAGCAACCCCCAAUUUUUUUCAGGUUGACCUCGGAUCAGGUAGGGAUACCCGCUGAACUUAAGCAUAUCAAUAAGUGGAGGA